This 518-nucleotide ribosomal RNA is filed under the name uncultured Algoriphagus sp. Its description in RNAcentral is "bacterial SSU rRNA". It matches the Rfam family "Bacterial small subunit ribosomal RNA", at positions 28 to 542 of the family's 1533-position model. The record is from RNAcentral. Lineage: Bacteria; Pseudomonadati; Bacteroidota; Cytophagia; Cytophagales; Cyclobacteriaceae.
GAUGAACGCUAGCGGCAGGCCUAAUACAUGCAAGUCGAACGGCAAGAGUUUUAGCAAUAGAAUUCCUAGAGUGGCGAACGGGUGCGUAACGCGUAUGCAACCUACCCUAUACAGGGGGAUAGCCCGGAGAAAUCUGGAUUAAUACCCCAUAGUACUAAGUUGAGGCAUUUUGAUUUAGUUAAAGAUUCAUCGGUAUAGGAUGGGCAUGCGUCUGAUUAGCUAGUUGGCGGUGUAACGGACCACCAAGGCGACGAUCAGUGGGGGUUCUGAGAGGAAGGUCCCCCACACUGGCACUGAGAUACGGGCCAGACUCCUACGGGAGGCAGCAGUAGGGAAUAUUGGGCAAUGGACGAGAGUCUGACCCAGCCAUGCCGCGUGCAGGAAGACGGCGUUCUGCGUUGUAAACUGCUUUUAUCUGGGAAGAAAAAGUCCAUGCGUGGAAAAUUGCCGGUACCAGAUGAAUAAGCACCGGCUAACUCCGUGCCAGCAGCCGCGGUAAUACGGAGGGUGCAAGCGUU